UACGUAGGUUGCUAGCGUUGUCCGGAAUCAUUGGGCGUAAAGCGCGCGUAGGUGGCUUGUCAGGUCCGAUGUGAAAACCUGGGGCUCAACUCCAGGCCUGCAUUGGAAACCGACUUGCUAGAGUCUGGGAGAGGAGAGUGGAAUUCCUGGUGUAGCGGUGAAAUGCGUAGAUAUCAGGAGGAACACCGGUAGCGAAGGCGGCUCUCUGGAACAGUACUGACACUGAGGCGCGAAAGCUAGGGGAGCGAACAGG
RNAcentral lists this ribosomal RNA (253 nucleotides) under uncultured bacterium. RNAcentral's name for it is "partial 16S ribosomal RNA". It matches the Rfam family "Bacterial small subunit ribosomal RNA", at positions 524 to 776 of the family's 1533-position model. The record is from RNAcentral.